This 254-nucleotide ribosomal RNA is filed under the name uncultured bacterium. RNAcentral describes it as "partial 16S ribosomal RNA". It matches the Rfam family "Bacterial small subunit ribosomal RNA", at positions 524 to 777 of the family's 1533-position model. The record is from RNAcentral.
UACGGAGGGGGCUAGCGUUGUUCGGAAUUACUGGGCGUAAAGCGCGCGUAGGCGGCUUUGUAAGUUAGAGGUGAAAGCCCGGAGCUCAACUUCGGAAUUGCCUUUAAGACUGCAUCGCUUGAAUCAUGGAGAGGUCAGUGGAAUUCCGAGUGUAGAGGUGAAAUUCGUAGAUAUUCGGAAGAACACCAGUGGCGAAGGCGACUGACUGGACAUGUAUUGACGCUGAGGUGCGAAAGCGUGGGGAGCAAACAGGG